RNAcentral lists this transfer RNA (75 nucleotides) under Deltaproteobacteria bacterium. RNAcentral describes it as "tRNA-Arg". It matches the Rfam family "tRNA". Rfam says of the family: Transfer RNA (tRNA) molecules are approximately 80 nucleotides in length. Their secondary structure includes four short double-helical elements and three loops (D, anti-codon, and T loops). Further hydrogen bonds mediate the characteristic L-shaped molecular structure. tRNAs have two regions of fundamental functional importance: the anti-codon, which is responsible for specific mRNA codon recognition, and the 3' end, to which the tRNAs corresponding amino acid is attached (by aminoacyl-tRNA synthetases). tRNAs cope with the degeneracy of the genetic code in two manners: having more than one tRNA (with a specific anti-codon) for a particular amino acid; and 'wobble' base-pairing, i.e. permitting non-standard base-pairing at the 3rd anti-codon position. Lineage: Bacteria; Pseudomonadati; Myxococcota; Myxococcia. RNAcentral also lists the same sequence under 2 other names. The record is from RNAcentral.
GGUCCCAUAGCUCAGCUGGAUCAGAGCGGCGCUUUCCUAAAGCGUAGGUCGGGGGUUCGAGUCCCUCUGGGAUCA